RNAcentral lists this ribosomal RNA (549 nucleotides) under uncultured bacterium. RNAcentral describes it as "bacterial SSU rRNA". It matches the Rfam family "Bacterial small subunit ribosomal RNA", at positions 774 to 1319 of the family's 1533-position model. The record is from RNAcentral.
AGAUAAUAGAUACCCUGGUAGUCCACGCCCUAAACGAUGUCGACUGGUUGUUGGGGGUUUGACACUCUCAGUAAACGAAAGCUAAACGCGUGAAGUCGACCGCCUGGGGAGUACGGCCGCAAGGUUAAAACUCAAAGGAAUUGACGGGGACCCGCACAAGCGGUGGAUUAUGUGGAUUAAUUCGAUGCAACGCGAAAAACCUUACCUACCCUUGACAUGUCCUGAAUCCCGGUGAGAGCUGGGAGUGCCCGAAAGGGAACGGGAACACAGGUGCUGCAUGGCUGUCGUCAGCUCGUGUCGUGAGAUGUUGGGUUAAGUCCCGCAACGAGCGCAACCCUUGUCAUUAGUUGCUACAUUCAGUUGGGCACUCUAAUGAGACUGCCGGUGACAAACCGGAGGAAGGUGGGGAUGACGUCAAGUCCUCAUGGCCCUUAUGGGUAGGGCUUCACACGUAAUACAAUGGCGCGUACAGAGGGUUGCCAAGCCGCGAGGUGGAGCCAAUCCCACAAAGCGCGUCGUAGUCCGGAUUGGAGUCUGCAACUCGACUCC